Molecule: ribosomal RNA, 822 nt
Filed under: uncultured bacterium
Lineage: Bacteria
Description: bacterial SSU rRNA
Rfam family: Bacterial small subunit ribosomal RNA
Source: RNAcentral
AGAGUUUGAUUCCAUGGCUCAGAAUCAACGCUGGCGGCGUGCCUAACACAUGCAAGUCGAACGCGGUUAUCCCGCAAGGGAUAGCUGAGUGGCGAACGGGUGAGUAACACGUGGGUGACCUACCUUCGAGUGGGGGAUAACGUCCCGAAAGGGACGCUAAUACCGCAUAACAUCCUGCCUUUGAACAGGUGGAGAUCAAAGCUGGGGAUCGCAAGACCUGGCGUUUGAAGAGGGGCCCGCGUCUGAUUAGCUAGUUGGUGAGGUAACGGCCCACCAAGGCUACGAUCAGUAUCCGGCCUGAGAGGGCGGACGGACACACUGGGACUGAGACACGGCCCAGACUCCUACGGGAGGCAGCAGUGGGGAAUUGUUCACAAUGGGCGCAAGCCUGAUGACGCAACGCCGCGUGGAGGAUGAAGGUCUUCGGAUUGUAAACUCCUGUUGCUCGGGACGAAAAGCUCUGACCUAACACGUCAGGGUCUGACGGUACCGAGUGAGGAAGCCCCGGCUAACUCUGUGCCAGCAGCCGCGGUAAUACAGAGGGGGCAAGCGUUGUUCGGAAUUACUGGGCGUAAAGGGCGCGUAGGCGGCCUUCUAAGUCAGACGUGAAAUCCCCGGGCUCAACCCGGGAACUGCGUCUGAUACUGGAGGGCUUGAAUCCGGGAGAGGGAUGCGGAAUUCCAGGUGUAGCGGUGAAAUGCGUAGAUAUCUGGAGGAACACCGGUGGCGAAGGCGGCAUCCUGGACCGGUAUUGACGCUGAGGCGCGAAAGCCAGGGGAGCAAACGGGAUUAGAUACCCCGGUAGUCCUGGCCCUAAACGAU